UACGUAGGGAGCAAGCGUUGUCCGGAAUCAUUGGGCGUAAAGCGCGCGUAGGCGGCCUCAUAAGUCCGUUGUGAAAGUCAAAGGCUCAACCUUUGAAUGCCGAUGGAUACUGUGAGGCUAGAGUCCGGAAGAGGCGAGUGGAAUUCCUGGUGUAGCGGUGGAAUGCGUAGAUAUCGUGGAGAACACCCGUGGCGAAGGCGGGCUUCUGGCUAAUUACUGACGCUGAGGUGCGAAAGCUAGGGGAGCGAACGGG
Molecule: ribosomal RNA, 253 nt
Filed under: uncultured bacterium
Lineage: Bacteria
Description: partial 16S ribosomal RNA
Rfam family: Bacterial small subunit ribosomal RNA
Source: RNAcentral